UACAGAGGUCCCGAGCGUUAGGCGGAAUCACUGGGCUUAAAGCGUGUGUAGGCGGAUGCCUAAGUACCUUGUGAAAUCCCACAGCUUAACUGUGGAACUGCUCGGUAUACUGGGUGUCUUGAGCCAGAUAGGGGCGACCGGAACAGACGGUGGAGCGGUGAAAUGCGUAGAUAUCGUCUGGAACGCCAAUGGUGAAAACAGGUCGCUGGGUCUGUGCUGACGCUGAGACACGAAAGCCAGGGGAGCAAACGGG
Molecule: ribosomal RNA, 253 nt
Filed under: uncultured bacterium
Lineage: Bacteria
Description: partial 16S ribosomal RNA
Rfam family: Bacterial small subunit ribosomal RNA
Source: RNAcentral